RNAcentral lists this unclassified non-coding RNA (386 nucleotides) under uncultured bacterium. RNAcentral describes it as "contains 16S-23S intergenic spacer region". The record is from RNAcentral.
UCCUGGUUUCCCAGGCAGUCCCACCAGAGUGCCUGCCUUACGGCAGUAGCAACUGGUGGCAAGGGUUGCGCUCGUUAGAGGACUUAACCUAACGUCUCACGACACGAGCUGACGACAGCCAUGCAGCACCUGUGAAAUUGUCUAAACCGAAGCCUAGAAAACUGUAUUUCUACAGCGAUCAAAAACAUGUCAAGCCCAGGUAAGGUUCCUCGCGUAGUGUCGAAUUAAACCACAUGUUCCACCGCUUGUGCGGACCCCCGUCAAUUCCUUUAAGUUUUAAUCUUGCGAUCGUACUCCCCAGGCGGAUCACUUAACGCGUUAGCUACGACACCAAUCCGGCAAAGCCAGACUGACGUCUAGUGAUCAUCGUUUACAGCGUGGACUAC